This 5418-nucleotide long non-coding RNA is filed under the name Hordeum vulgare. RNAcentral describes it as "long non-coding RNA (HVUL_LNC005045)". Lineage: Eukaryota; Viridiplantae; Streptophyta; Magnoliopsida; Poales; Poaceae. The record is from RNAcentral.
UUAAGAUUGAGACAACAGUUUGGUAGAGGCUACGGUUCUACCAGGUCUCGGACGUAGGUUGUAGGGGUGGAAGUGCGGGCUGCGAGGUUGGGAACGCCGGCGCCGGCGGUUGGGUGCCGUCGCGGCGUGAGAGAGAGAGAGAGACGGCUAGGGUUUGGGGCUCCCGUCUCCUGAGGGAGACGACAACAGAAUACUGUUUAUUGUCUGCUUAAUAUCGAAGGGGUACAUGUGUUUAUAUAGGAGGACAACCUCCACUAAACCCUAGAUAACUUGGACUCUAAUAUAACUUGGACUUCUAAUAUAACUUGGACUCUAAUAUACCUAAGAUAACUAGGGCUAAGACCGUAACUAACCCUGCCCAUUGGGCCUCCUCCGUUGGUACGUUGUACCGGUCAUAACAUCUCUCCCCGCCUUCUCAAACAGCUCGUCCUCGAGCUGAACAUCUGGAAACUGCUGGCGAAAAUCGUCGAGCUUCUCCCAAGUCGCUUCCUCCUCUCGCAAGCCGGUCCACUGUACCAAGACAUGCCAGACGCCGCGACGCUGCUGUGCCUGCAGCACCUUCGCCACCUAUGCGGAAGCUGGAAGGAGGCGGCCAUCCGAAGUAGGAGGAAGGGCCCACGUCGCUGCAGGAGGGUCCCCGCGGUAGGCCUUCAGUAAGCCGACAUGGAAGACGUCGUGGAGGCGAGAACCAGCUGGCAGCUCCAAGCGGUAUGCGAGUGUGCCGACACGCUCCAGCACACGAAAGGGACCGGCGUAGCGAGGUCCCAAUUUGCGCUUGGAGUGCGGGUCUAGAGACUGCGUGGUCCUGUGGAGGAGGUGCAACCACACCCAAUCGCCCACCGUGAACUCCACCUCGCGAUGAUGAGCAUUGUAGUACUUCCGAGCCAGCUGCUGUGCUUGGAGAAGACGCUGGCGCGCCUCAGCCAGAAUGUCGUCGCCGGUGCGGAGUAAGUCGCCCGCCGUCUUGGACCGAGCCGUCCCAGGCUCGUAAGGGAGCAUCGCCGGAGGUGGGCGCCCGUAGACCACCUCGAAAGGCGUGGUGCGCAGGGCGGAGUGAUAGGAGGUGUUGUAGGAGUACUCCGCCCACGCCAACCAGUCCACCCAAGCUCGUGGACGAUCACCGGUAACACAGCGAAGGUACAUGACGAUCACCUUGUUCACCACCUCGGAUUGGCCGUCUGUCUGAGCGUGGAAAGCCGUGCUCAUGCGGAGCUUCACGCCCGCCAGUCGAAAGAGAUCCUGCCAGACAUGUCCCGUGAACACGGGAUCACGAUCGCUGACGAUGGAUGAAGGAAAACCGUGGAGGCGGACGAUGCCGUCGAAGAAGGCCCGCGCCACGGAGGCGGCUGUAUAUGGAUGACCCAGGGCAAUGAAGUGCGCGUACUUGGAGAAGCGGUCAACCACCGUGAGGAUGACAGACUUGCCGCCCACCUUGGGAAGACCCUUGACGAAGUCCAUGGAAAUAUCCGCCCAUACCUGGGAGGGUACGUCCAGCGGCUGCAGUAGACCCGCGGGUCGUAGUGUCUCCGUCUUGUUCCGCUGGCACGUCACGCACGACCGCACCCAGUCGCGGACCAUCGCGCCAUCACCGGGGAUGUAAAAAUCAGCACGGAGACGAUGGAGAGUCUUCUGCACGCCCUCGUGCCCUGCAGAGUGCGCCAAGGUCAGGACCUGGUGGCGCAGGUCGCCAUGGUCGGGCACGAAGAUGCGGCGGCCAUGUAGGAGCAGCCCCUCGUCCAAGCGCCAGGGCGCGUCCAGCUCGCCGGCGUCAAGGCGCUGGCGCAGGCCCUGCGCGUCCGCGGCCGUCGAAGUUGCCCGGCGAAUGUCGUCGAUGAAGGCAAAAGAUGGCCCGGAGCGGAUGCACAUGAUAGUGCCAGCCAUGGCGAAGUCGUCCGCGACAUCCUCAGUGUCGCGGCGGGACAAGGCGUCGGCGACCGUGUUGAGACGGCCGGGGCGGUACUCGAUGGUGAAGUCGAAGCCGAAGAGCUUGCUGAUCCACUGGUGUUGCGGAACGGUGGAGAGGCGCUGGUCCAACAAGAACUUGAGGCUGUAGUGGUCCGUGCACACACGGAAUGACCGGCCCCAAAAAUAAGGCCGCCAGUGGCGCACCGCCUGAACCAGCCUAAUAAGCUCGCGCUCGUAGGCCGCGAGCUUGUGAUGGCGAGUGGCGAAGGGGCGGCUGAAGAAAGCGAGCGGUCCCUCGCCCUGGUGGAGGACGGCGCCGAAGCCGAUGCCAGAGGCGUCGCAGUCCACCACGAACGGCCUAUCAAAGUCCGGCAUCUGGAGGACGGGUCCCGUCGUUAGCGCCUGCUCGAGAGCCUCGAAUGCCGUAGUUGCCUCCUUGUCCCAGGAGAAGGCGUCGCGUCGAAGGAGACGCGUCAAUGGCGCGACGAUGAGGCCGAAGUCCCGGAUGUACUUCCGGUAGUAGCCGGCGAGGCCCAAGAAGCCGCGGAGCGCCCGCGGUGACCGCGGGGUCGGCCACGCGGCGACGGCGGCCAUCGCUACCCCGUCCGCCGAGAUGACGUGCCCCAGGUACGCGACGGAGGUCGUGCCGAACGAGCACUUCGAGCGCUUGAGGUGAAGACGAUGCGCUCGAAGCUCGUUGAAGAUGAUGGCCACGUAUUGUAGGUGCUCUGCCCAAGAUGCACUGUAGAUAAGAAUGUCAUCAAAGAAAACAAGCACAAAGCGGCGCAAGUAUGGGCUGAACACGUCGUUCAUCAGGGUCUGGAAGGUUGCCGGCGCGUUGGAGAGGCCAAACGGCAUCACCAGGAACUCGAAGUGGUCAUGGUGAGUGCGGAAUGCCGUCUUCUCGAUGUCGUCAGGUGCAUGCGCACCUGAUGGUAGCCCGAGCGAAGGUCGAGCUUGGUGAAGAAGCGCGCUCCGUGUAGCUCGUGCAAGAGCUCAUCCACGACGGGGAUGGGGAACUUGUCCUUGGACGUCAGGGCGUUGAGGGCGCGGUAGUCGAUGCAGAAGCGCCAUGUGCCGUCGGGCUUGCGCACAAGGAGCACCGGGGCGGAGUACGGCGAUGUCGAAAUCCGGAUGAUGCCCAGCGCGAGCAUGACCGCCACCUGACGCUCGAGCUCGUCUUUCUGCAGCUGAGGGUACCGGUACGGGCGCACGGCGACAGGUGCCGUGUCCGGCAGCAAGUGGAUGCGGUGGUCACAGGGCCGCGCGGGAGGGAGGCCCUGUGGCUCGUCAAAGAUGUCGCUGUGCUGCUGCAGGAGGUCGGCCAGGAGGGGAUGCGCCUCGUCUAGUGCGGCCGCCAUCAACUGGAGCUGCGGAAUCGCGGCGCCAGAGCCGCCGAUGCCUGUCCACUGAACGCGACGGCCCCCUCGCACCAAAAGAUGAGGGACAACACAUCGAGGUCCCAAAGGAUGGGACCGAGAGUGAACAGGAAGUCGAUGUCGAGGAUGAAAUCGUAGCAGCCCAGGUCGAUGCCGACGCAGUCGAUGGAGAACGGCUCGUCGCCGAUGAGGACGGGAACCUGCCGCGCCACCCCCUGGCAAGCAAGGUGGUCCCCGUUGGUGACGGUGACGCUGAACUUCUCCGAGCCUGCCGGUUGGAGUGCGAGGCGGCGCAUGGCAUCCCCGGGCAGGAAGUUGUGCGUCGACCCCGUGUCUAUGAGCGCGGUGAGACGCUCCCCGUUGAUCGUCACCGGAAGCAGCAUCGUCUUUGCCGUCUUGAUGCCAGCCAUGGCAUGAAGGGAGGCGACGAAGGCGGUCGCAUCGACCGGCCCGUAGGUCGUGACGCCGGCCUCGGAGAGUGUGGUGGCGUCGAGCUCCGCGGUGAGGGCCUCCACCUUCGCGUCGUCGACGGUCUCCAAGUAGAACAGGCGGGCGCACGUAUGACCCGGCGUAUACGUCUCGUCGCAGUUGAAGCACAUGCCCUUGCGGCGCCGCUCGAGCUGCUCGGCCGACGUCAAACGCCAGAAGGUGCGUGUCGGCGCGGGGGCAGUCGCAGUAGUGGCCGGCAGGGCGGGGCGGGUCGGGGGACGCUUGCCGCGGCCCGGGAACGCCUGCUGCAGGGCGUUGGCGCGCUGCUCGUACGCGCGUGCGCAAUACAUGGCCGUCUACAGGUCCUGGGGGUCGCGCAUCUCGACGUCGAUGCGGAUGUGGUCGGGAAGGCCGCCGACGAAGAGCUCGACGCGUUGGCGAGCUGUGACGUCAGGCGCAUGGCAGGCCAACGUCUGGAAGCGGUCGGCGAAGUCCUGCACCGAGGUGGUGAAGGGAAGGCGACCGAGCUCGGCCAGGCGGCUCCCACGUAUGGGGGGGGGCCGAACCGGAGGAGACACAGGUCGCGAAAGCGCUCCCAUGGAGGCAUCCCGCCCUCGUCCUGCUCGAGGGCGUAGUACCACGUCUGGGCGGCGCCACGGAGGUGGUAGGAGGCGAUCCACGUGCGGUCGGACGCCAUGGUCCGCUGCCCCCUGAAAAACUGGCCGCACUGAUUGAGCCAGUUCAGGGGGUCGACGAUGCCGUCGUAGGUGGCGAACUCCAGCUUGGUGAAGCGGGGUGGCUGCUGCACGUGUGGCGAGGCCGCGUAGGCGCCCUCGUGACGACCCAACGCGGCAGAAGGAGAGUGCUGCGGCACCACGGAGCGCCCGACGUACGGGUCAGUGGACCCGCCGAACCCCCCGAAGGUGGGGGCGGGUGGCUGCAACACCGUCGGCUGUAGCGGCGCCGUCGUGUAGGUCGGCGUGUCGAUCCACGUCGGUAGCGGGGACGGCGACGAUGGCCACCGGACCUGGGUGAUCGGCAGGCCCUGCGGCGUGACGGUGGCCGGGGGCGGUGGUGGCGGGGUUGCGUAUAGACCCUGGAGGAAAGUCUGGAGGUUCGAGACCGCCAGGGUGAGGUCGCGGAUCGCCGGUGACAUCUUCGCCGGGGAGAGGACGGAGGCGGCUUCGGCCGCCAGGGCCGCGGUACCGGAGGCGGCCGAACCUGAGGUGGCCAGCGACGGGUGCGGCGGCGGCGGCUGUUGCGAGGUGGCGGGGAAGGCGGUGGUGGUGGGAAGGUCCGAUAAAUUCAUCGAACCCAAGCUACCUGAUACCAAAUUGGUAGAGGCUAGGGUUCUACCAGGUCUCGGACGUAGGUUGUAGGGGUGGAAGUGCGGGCUGCGAGGUUGGGGACGCCGGCGCCGGCGGUUGGGUGCCGUCGCGGCGUGAGAGAGAGAGAGAGACGGCUAGGGUUUGGGGCUCCCGUCUCCUGAGGGAGACGACAACAGAAUACUGUUUAUUGUCUGCUUAAUAUCGAAGGGGUACAUGUGUUUAUAUAGGAGGACAACCUCCACUAAGCCCUAGAUAACUUGGACUCUAAUAUAACUUGGACUUCUAAUAUAACUUGGACUCUAAUAUACCUAUGAUAACCAGGGCUAAGCCCGUAACUAACCCUGCCCAUUGGGCUUCCUCCGUUGGUACGUUGUACC